GAAUUUGUGAGUUUCACUGCUCCUUGCCAAGAAUGUUUCAGAUGCUGUCAUUGAAAAGCUGGUUCAAAGUCUUGGAUGAACUCACAUGAGCAAACAGCACCAGAACACCAGGACUAAGAUAUAUUCUCAUAAGAGAAAAAACAAUCACAACAUCAUGAACACAAUUGGUACGUUUCAACUGUGGAGAGAACAAGUUAAGAAAGAUUUUGAAAGAAUGGCUGGAACACAAGAGCACAGCUAUGAGCUGGGAGAUCUGCUGUUAAGAGAAACAGAUUAUGGGGCUUAUCAUGCAGGCGUUUUUUGUGGAUUUAAUGAAGUCAUCGACUUUACAGGUUCUGAACGCAAAAUGCAAAGUGUCUUAAAAUCAGAUGUACACGAAUUUGGCACUGUUUCGAAAAAAAGCCUGAAGCACUUUAAGUGUGGAAAGAGUGUUGAAGUGUAUCGCCUCAGAGCAAAGGAAAAAUUCCCCAAAUCUUUUCCUAAAAAUGUCCAGGAAGCAAUGGAUAAAUUUGUUAAAUAUCAUGUACUGAAAUUCAACUGCCUUCAUUUUGCCCUUUGUGUUCUGGAGGUAUUAGACUGGCAGGAUGAAAAAUUUUCAGCUACGACUGGAACUAAUAGUCAUGCUUCAGAUGGUUAUGAAGCUAUCAGCAUGGAUUACGUUAAAGAAGAAUGUCAAGUUUAGUAAUAAAACCAGAUACCAAAAAGUGGCA
Molecule: long non-coding RNA, 710 nt
Organism: Cyprinus carpio (common carp)
Lineage: Eukaryota; Metazoa; Chordata; Actinopteri; Cypriniformes; Cyprinidae
Source: Ensembl